CGAGAGUGGCCAUGAGGCAAUAGGAACUGCUAAUUCCUGCUCCUGCAGUUAAAAUCUGCAGCUCACUCG
This 69-nucleotide transfer RNA is filed under the name Curimata mivartii. RNAcentral's name for it is "tRNA-Ser". Lineage: Eukaryota; Metazoa; Chordata; Actinopteri; Characiformes; Curimatidae. The record is from RNAcentral.